This 35-nucleotide transfer RNA is filed under the name Contia tenuis. Its description in RNAcentral is "partial tRNA-Leu". Lineage: Eukaryota; Metazoa; Chordata; Lepidosauria; Squamata; Dipsadidae. The record is from RNAcentral.
UACCAAAGGAUAAUAGUAUUCCACUGGUCUUAGGG